CUGCCCAAAGGGAAAGUCCAGGGAUGGUGUUGAAAUUCCGUUCUGAGCUAGAGGGCUGUUUUAACAGAGAAAGGAAUCUAUAAUUGGCAAGAAAGACCAAGCUUAAUGUCAAAGCCGUUUGAUAAGUCUGAGAUCACAGAAUGUCUAGGCCAAGACUUAGUCAGAAUGAAACAUGUUUCUGGAGAACAGGAAGCAAGGCCACAUGCUGAGCAGGAGGAGCCAGCACAGGGUGGAGUAGUGAAGGGCCACUCUGCCGCAGCCGCGUCUCAAUGGGUCUCACUCUGUCACCCAGGCUGGAGUGCAGUGGCGCAAUCUCAGCUCACUGAAGCCUUGACCUCCCAGACUCAGGUGAUCCUCACACUUCAGCCUCCUGAGUAGCCAGGACUACAGGAUUUCACUGUGGCACAAAAUGUUCCUGCGGUCCAAAAUUGAGAAGGGAAUUGAAACAAGGGAAAUUUUACUGUUAUGAAAUAUAAUAAAUAGUGCUUGCUUUACU
RNAcentral lists this long non-coding RNA (496 nucleotides) under Homo sapiens (human). Its description in RNAcentral is "HSALNT0394720". Lineage: Eukaryota; Metazoa; Chordata; Mammalia; Primates; Hominidae. The record is from RNAcentral.